CGCGUAGGCGGAUGUUUAAGUCAGAGGUGAAAGCCCAGGGCUCAACCUUGGAACUGCCUUUGAAACUGGACAUCUUGAGUAUGGGAGAGGUGAGUGGAACUCCGAGUGUAGAGGUGAAAUUCGUAGAUAUUCGGAAGAACACCAGUGGCGAAGGCGACUCACUGGCCCAUUACUGACGCUGAGGCGCGAAAGCGUGGGGAGCAAACAGGAUUAGAUACCCUGGUAGUCCACGCUGUAAACGAUGAGUGCUAGUUGUCGGCAGGCAUGCCUGUCGGUGACGCAGCUAACGCAUUAAGCACUCCGCCUGGGGAGUACGGUCGCAAGAUUAAA
RNAcentral lists this ribosomal RNA (330 nucleotides) under uncultured bacterium. RNAcentral describes it as "bacterial SSU rRNA". It matches the Rfam family "Bacterial small subunit ribosomal RNA", at positions 568 to 898 of the family's 1533-position model. The record is from RNAcentral.